GACGAACGCUGGCGGCGUGCUUAACACAUGCAAGUCGAACGGAAAGGCCCAGCUUGCUGGGUGCUCGAGUGGCGAACGGGUGAGUAACACGUGGGUGAUCUGCCCCUAACUUCGGGAUAAGCUUGGGAAACUGGGUCUAAUACCGGAUAGGACAAUCGUUUAGUGUCGGUUGUGGAAAGUUUUUUCGGUUAGGGAUGAGCCCGCGGCCUAUCAGCUUGUUGGUGGGGUAAUGGCCUACCAAGGCGUCGACGGGUAGCCGGCCUGAGAGGGUGGACGGCCACAUUGGGACUGAGGUACGGCCCAGACUCCUACGGGAGGCAGCAGUGGGGAAUAUUGCACAAUGGGCGCAAGCCUGAUGCAGCGACGCCGCGUGGGGGAUGACGGCCUUCGGGUUGUAAACCUCUUUCGACAGGGACGAAGCUUUGGUGACGGUACCUGUAUAAGAAGCACCGGCUAACUACGUGCCAGCCGCCGCCGUAA
Molecule: ribosomal RNA, 480 nt
Filed under: uncultured bacterium
Lineage: Bacteria
Description: partial 16S ribosomal RNA
Rfam family: Bacterial small subunit ribosomal RNA
Source: RNAcentral